This is a ribosomal RNA of 435 nucleotides. It matches the Rfam family "Bacterial small subunit ribosomal RNA", at positions 341 to 792 of the family's 1533-position model.
ACGGGAGGCAGCAGUGGGGAAUAUUGGGCAAUGGGGGAAACCCUGACCCAGCAACGCCGCGUGAAGGAAGAAGGCCUUCGGGUUGUAAACUUCUUUUACCAGGGACGAAGAAUGACGGUACCUGGAGAAAAAGCAACGGCUAACUACGUGCCAGCAGCCGCGGUAAUACGUAGGUUGCAAGCGUUGUCCGGAUUUACUGGGUGUAAAGGGCGUGUAGGCGGAGCUGCAAGUCAGAUGUGAAAUCCCGGGGCUCAACCCCGGAACUGCUUUUGAAACUGCGUAGCUAGAGUGCAGGAGAGGCAAGCGGAAUUCCUAGUGUAGCGGUGAAAUGCGUAGAUAUUAGGAAGAACACCGGUGGCGAAGGCGGCUUGCUGGACUGAGACUGACGCUGAGGCUCGAAAGCGUGGGGAGCAAACAGGAUUAGAUACCCUGGUA